CCUACGGGCGGCAGCAGUGGGGAAUAUUGCACAAUGCGGGAAACACUGAUGCAGCGACGCCGCGUGAGUGACGAAGUCUUUCGGUAUGUAAAGCUCUAUGAGCAGGGAAGAAAAUGCCAGUACCUGACCAAGAAGCCCCGGCUAACUACGUGCUAGCAGCCGCGGGAAUACGUAGGGGGCGAGCGUUAUCCGGAUUGACUGGGGGUAAAGUGGACGUAGGCGGUUUUGUAAGUCUGGAGUGAAAGCCUGGGGCUCAACCUCGGGACUGCUUGGGAAACUGUGUAACUGGAGUACGGGAGGGGAUGGCAGAAUUCCUGGUGUAGCGGUGAAAUGCGUAGAUAUCAGGAGGAACACCGGCGGCGAAGGCGGCCAGCUGGAUGGAAACUGACGUUGAGGUGCGAAAGCGUGGGGAGCAAACAGGAUUAGAUACCCUAGUAGUC
This 440-nucleotide ribosomal RNA is filed under the name uncultured bacterium. Its description in RNAcentral is "partial 16S ribosomal RNA". It matches the Rfam family "Bacterial small subunit ribosomal RNA", at positions 338 to 795 of the family's 1533-position model. The record is from RNAcentral.